UAAUUUUAAAUUGAAAUUCUGAUAACGAGUCACUACAACCUCCGGCCCGCUGGACCGACGACCUACAUAAGAUUUCUGGUGUAGACUGGAUGAGGAUUGCGGAAAAUUGGGAUGUCUGAUGUGAACUUCGGGAGGCCUAUGUCUAGCAGUGGCCUAUAGGCUGAACUGACAGACUGACUGACUGACUGACAAGAUUUUCGCUAUAAAUCACUAAUUCUAAAAUAAGAAGUGAUAGAGGAUUUUAAUGUGCUAAGAAGUAAUAAGCUAAAUCGAAGAUUAACGUUUUGAUAU
This 291-nucleotide unclassified non-coding RNA is filed under the name Melitaea cinxia (Glanville fritillary). Its description in RNAcentral is "misc RNA ENSMCXG00005003721.1". The record is from RNAcentral. Lineage: Eukaryota; Metazoa; Arthropoda; Insecta; Lepidoptera; Nymphalidae.